UACGUAGGGGGCAAGCGUUGUCCGGAUUCAUUGGGCGUAAAGAGCGUGUAGGCGGCCAGGUAGGUCGGUUGUGAAAACUGGAGGCUCAACCUUCAGAGGUCGACCGAAACCAUCUGGCUAGAGUCCGGGAGAGGAGAGUGGAAUUCCUGGUGUAGCGGUGAAAUGCGCAGAUAUCAGGAAGAACACCCGUGGCGAAAGCGGCUCACUGGAUCGAUACUGACGCUGAGGUGCGAAAGCUAGGGUAGCAAACGGG
Molecule: ribosomal RNA, 253 nt
Filed under: uncultured bacterium
Lineage: Bacteria
Description: partial 16S ribosomal RNA
Rfam family: Bacterial small subunit ribosomal RNA
Source: RNAcentral